This 462-nucleotide ribosomal RNA is filed under the name uncultured bacterium. RNAcentral's name for it is "partial 16S ribosomal RNA". It matches the Rfam family "Bacterial small subunit ribosomal RNA", at positions 29 to 507 of the family's 1533-position model. The record is from RNAcentral.
AUGAACGCUGACAGAAUGCUUAACACAUGCAAGUCGAUGGGGAAGUGGUGCUUGCACCAUGGUAACCAUGGCGGACGGGUGAGUAACGCGUAAGGAACUUACCUGCGGGACCGGGAUAACAGCAGGAAACUGCUGACAAGACCGGAUAAGGUCAUUAAGCUGCAUAGCUUAGUGAUGAAAGGAGACGCCUGCGGAGAGCCUUGCGUCCUAUUAGCUAGUUGGAGGGGUAACGGCCCACCAAGGCGAAGAUAGGUAGCCGGCCUGAGAGGGUGGACGGCCACAAGGGGACUGAGAUACGGCCCUUACUCCUACGGGAGGCAGCAGUGGGGAAUAUUGGACAAUGGGGGCAACCCUGAUCCAGCAAUUCUGUGUGCACGAAGACGGUUUUCGGAUUGUAAAGUGCUUUCAGCAGGGAAGAAGGAAGUGACGGUACCUGCAGAAGAAGCGACGGCUAAAUACGUG